UACGGAGGGUGCGAGCGUUGUCCGGAAUCAUUGGGCGUAAAGCGCGUGUAGGCGGCUCGAUAAGUCUGCUGUGAAAGUCCAGGGCUCAACCCUGGAAUGCCGGUGGAUACUGUCGAGCUCGAGUCCGGAAGAGGCGAGUGGAAUUCCUGGUGUAGCGGUGAAAUGCGCAGAUAUCAGGAGGAACACCAAUAGCGAAGGCAGCUCGCUGGGACGUGACUGACGCUGAGACGCGAAAGCGUGGGGAGCAAACAGG
RNAcentral lists this ribosomal RNA (253 nucleotides) under uncultured bacterium. RNAcentral's name for it is "partial 16S ribosomal RNA". It matches the Rfam family "Bacterial small subunit ribosomal RNA", at positions 524 to 776 of the family's 1533-position model. The record is from RNAcentral.